This 253-nucleotide ribosomal RNA is filed under the name uncultured bacterium. Its description in RNAcentral is "partial 16S ribosomal RNA". It matches the Rfam family "Bacterial small subunit ribosomal RNA", at positions 524 to 776 of the family's 1533-position model. The record is from RNAcentral.
UACGGAGGAUCCAAGCGUUAUCCGGAUUUAUUGGGUUUAAAGGGUGCGUAGGCGGAUUGAUAAGUUAGAGGUGAAAUGUCCGAGCUUAGCUCGGGAACUGCCUCUAAUACUGUUGAUCUAGAGAGUAGAUGCGGUAGGCGGAAUGUAUGGUGUAGCGGUGAAAUGCUUAGAGAUCAUACAGAACACCGAUUGCGAAGGCAGCUUACCAAUCUAUAUCUGACGUUGAGGCACGAAAGCGUGGGGAGCAAACAGG